AUUGAACGCUGGCGGCAGGCUUAACACAUGCAAGUCGAACGGUAACGGGUUGAAAGCUUGCUUUCAAUGCUGACGAGUGGCGGACGGGUGAGUAAGGCUUGGGGAUCUGGCUUUUGGAGGGGGAUAACCAUUGGAAACGAUGGCUAAUACCGCAUAGUAUCGAGAGAUGAAAGGGUGGGAAACCACUUGCCAAGGGAUGAACCCAAGUGAGAUUAGGUAGUAGGUGGGGUAACGGCUCACCUAGGCGACGAUCCCUAGCUGGUCUGAGAGGAUGACCAGCCACACUGGAACUGAGACACGGUCCAG
Molecule: ribosomal RNA, 306 nt
Filed under: uncultured bacterium
Lineage: Bacteria
Description: bacterial SSU rRNA
Rfam family: Bacterial small subunit ribosomal RNA
Source: RNAcentral